AGAACGAACGCUGGCGGCAUGCCUAAUACAUGCAAGUCGAACGAACUCUUCGGAGUUAGUGGCGCACGGGUGCGUAACGCGUGGGAAUCUGCCCCUUGGUUCGGAACAACAGUUGGAAACGACUGCUAAUACCGGAUGAUGACGAAAGUCCAAAGAUUUAUCGCCCAGGGAUGAGCCCGCGUAGGAUUAGCUAGUUGGUGAGGUAAAGGCUCACCAAGGCGACGAUCCUUAGCUGGUCUGAGAGGAUGAUCAGCCACACGUGGGACUGAGACACGGCCCAGACUCCUACGGGAGCAGCAGUA
Molecule: ribosomal RNA, 302 nt
Filed under: uncultured soil bacterium
Lineage: Bacteria
Description: bacterial SSU rRNA
Rfam family: Bacterial small subunit ribosomal RNA
Source: RNAcentral